GACGAACGCUGGCGGCGUGCUUAACACAUGCAAGUCGAACGGUGAAGCUCCAGCUUGCUGGAGUGGAUCAGUGGCGAACGGGUGAGUAACACGUGAGCAACCUGCCCCUGACUCUGGAAUAAGCGCUGGAAACGGCGUCUAAUACUGGAUACGAGAAGUGUCCGCAUGGGCACUUUCUGUAAAGUUUUUCGGUUGGGGAUGGGCUCGCGGCCUAUCAGCUUGUUGGUGAGGUAAUGGCUCACCAAGGCGACGACGGGUAGCCGGCCUGAGAGGGCGACCGGCCACACUGGGACUGAGACACGGCCCAGACUCCUACGGGAGGCAGCAGUGGGGAAUAUUGCACAAUGGGCGAAAGCCUGAUGCAGCGACGCCGCGUGAGGGAUGACGGCCUUCGGGUUGUAAACCUCUUUCAGCAGGGAAGAAGCGAAAGUGACGGUACCUGCAGAAGAAGCACCGGCUAACUACGUG
RNAcentral lists this ribosomal RNA (468 nucleotides) under uncultured bacterium. RNAcentral describes it as "partial 16S ribosomal RNA". It matches the Rfam family "Bacterial small subunit ribosomal RNA", at positions 28 to 507 of the family's 1533-position model. The record is from RNAcentral.